RNAcentral lists this long non-coding RNA (3295 nucleotides) under Zea mays. RNAcentral describes it as "long non-coding RNA (ZMAY_LNC004764)". The record is from RNAcentral. Lineage: Eukaryota; Viridiplantae; Streptophyta; Magnoliopsida; Poales; Poaceae.
GUGAUUAUACACAAACAUGGUUUUCUCGUUUUAAGUAGUGCUUGCGGUGGUUCUUGUUGAAAUACAGGUAAUCCUGCGGGGCUUCAUUGCACACAUGUCAAAAAAUGAGAGAGGACAGAGGAGAGGAGGAGGAAUCCCAUGCUUCUUUAAAUUCUGCUGCCAUUCUGCUACCGUGGGCGUCGUACAGCCCCGUUUCCAUAGAGGACAGUCUGCCGCAACCACAAGCCUAGCUUCGUCCACCUCUGAAUCAAGAAGCAACUAGGCAUGGACGACCGCACCUACAAGGGCGGCAUCAAGGCGUACUGGAAGCGCCGGGGCUACUACCGCAUGGACGGCGACGCCGCGCGGCGCCGCCAGCCGCUCCCCACCGUGGAGCUCGGAAAUGGCGUCUCCCAGGCCCAGGCCCAGGCCCAGCCGCCGGCGGGGGAUGGCUCGGGCCGGCGCCGCCGGUGCCGCGGGUGGCGCGUGCGCCGCGGCCAGCUGGGGCGGCGGCUGCUCCGCGCGCUGUCCCCUCGCCGGUGGCUCAUGCGGCUCCGCGACGCGUACGUGUCCGCCAUGCUGCGGCUGGCCUCCUCCCCCGCCGUCGGGUACGGCGCCGGCGCGCCCUUCUGCGCCACGGCGACCCACGGCGCGGCGGCGGCGGCGGCCUUCGCGCGGCCGGCGCAGCUCAAGGAGUACGACGAGAAGGUGCUGGUGGAGAUCUACAGGUCCAUACUCGCGCGCGGCGGGCCUCUCGCCGGCGCGCCUGCCGCCGCCACGCUGCGGCUACCGACGGCUGUUUGAGCUUGAGCGGCAGAAGAGACGUGUGUUCUUCUUGCUUAUUUUUAUUCUUAUGUGUCGCGACUUGUACUGAGUUGUAACUUGCGUGCGCCCCACAAGCUAGCGUUUCUUCUUCGUUCCCAAUUCGAUAUCAUCAAGUCUUAUGUUAUGGGCUUGGAGUCCAAAGUCUGGUGCAUAUUUUUUGCACCGCGGGGGAAAAAAAACGGGCUCUGUCUAAAUUAUCAAAUAUGAAAACUAAAACUAUUAAACCAAUACAACUUCCUAGCCAUUCGCACUAUCCAUGUCCCAUAAAAAAUCAUGGCCGCUGAUGCUUUACAUCUAGCCGCACGCGUGGCCGACGGCCAACGCUGCCCGCAUGCUACACGUGUGUUUCUCAACCGUCCCCUAAAAAAGAAAAUCCUAUACCCGCGAUGGCGCACGUCAUUUACUAGUAUGGCAUUAUUACAAUAAUUAGGCCGGGACGUAACCAGUUUCUAGAUCCGCUAACGUAUAGCAUUAUGUUUAAUACAAGAUUUUUUUUCAUGUAUGCUCGAAUCACAUAUUUCCGCGAAUGAUUGCGACAGCAUAAAAAGCUUGGUCAUAAUCUGUCUAGUCGGAGUGUUUGAUUUCUAUAGACUAAUUUUCAGUGUCUCCCUUUUACUUUAUUUUAGUUCCUAAAUUAUCAAAUACAAAAACUAAAACUAUAUUUUAGUUUUUAUAUUUGAUAAUUUAAGAAUUAAAAUAGAAUAAAAUAAAUAGAUUAAAAAUUAGUUCAUAUAAACCAAACAUCCUUAAAUGGAUAAUUGUUAACUAUAUAUUAGAACGUAUUCAUGACCAAAUAGGAUGCACGUUAUGUAAUUACUGAAGUUAAAAGGAAGAGUUUUAUAAUCUAAACUAGAAAUUGCUGAUCACAGAAUCACGACUAUUGUUUGUCAUCAAUCAAAUUCAAGUACUGGAUUUAACAUCAUAGCACAAGUCAAAAUACUGAACUAAGUUGACAUCACUAGGUUUAUUUUGUUUUUCGGAAGGACUAAAAAAGAUUUAUGCCGUAAUUUUUAUUAGAAAGAUAAAAGAAACAAGAAACGAUUUAAUCAUUUUAGUAAAAACCAGCCUUAAAAAGACAGGACUAUAGAGAGGUGAUGUAUCUCCACACUACUCUCCCAAAUUUUGAAUAACAACUAACUAACUAACUGCUCAAACUUCACUAUUCCUUCGAAAAGAGCCAACUUGAUUGCAACGCAACUCAACCAAUAACUCAACUCAGCUACUCCACCCACGGUUUUCAGCGGGGGAAACUUAAAAAAAAAAAACUCAAAGCACAACCACUAACACAACCAAAAACAACAUGACAAAAGCAGGAUCUUGAAGUUAUCUAAUGAUGGUUGUCUUUUAUCUCUCACAGACUUCCAACAAACGUCCAACAAACAACUACUGAUAGGGAUGAAAGUGGUAAUCCGAACUGUUAGAACAAAUUUAAUAUUUUAAAAUAGAUAUAUAUAAAAUUUGAUGUUGAUCUUUUCUUAUGUUAUCAAGCACAUUAGUACAAAUAUGAAUAAAAUAUUAUAUAAGUUGUUUUAUGUAUUAUUUGCUCCCUACAACACAAAAAGUUGAAAAAAUUACCGAAUUUGUUUCCGAAUCCAUACCGAAGUUUAUAUCUAUUAUUUGAGAAAAUGUAGGAUGAAUUUGAGGUUUACCUUUUAUGAAUCUUAACAAGCUGGAUGUUAAAAACAAGAAUACAAAUUUGUAUUGUAUAUUUUAUAUCCUAUUUAUUCGCAAUCAAAGGAAAAACUGAUUACCGAAUAAAUACCGUUUCCGACCGUUUUCAUCCCUAACUACUGAAACUCUCAGCUCUCCAGGGCAGCUCCACACACCAAAUAAAAACCCUGCACUUUAGUAAUUUAUGCAGGCUUUUGGGGGGGCAUUAUCCCAUGCUCAAUUAGAAACGUGGGUGCAUCCAUUUGAGCCUUCGCUCAAAAUAUAUAGCGUGCGAAGUUCUUGAACAAAUCAGCAUUCGCAUUAAAAAAAGCAUUGGAUCCCAGCAUGGGAUGUAAAAAAUGCAGCUGUCAUCUUCCAGUUUCCGGCUCACCCAUGCCAUAUCGACGUUCAUAUAAUUUCAAGUAGUGAUUAUACACAAACAUGAUUUUCUCGUCUUAAGUAGUGCUUGCGGUGGUUCUUGUUGAAAUACAGGUAAUCCUGCGGGGCUUCAUUGCACACAUGUCAAAAAAAAUGAGAGAGGGCAGAGGAGAGGAGGAGGAAUCCCAUGCUUCUUUAAAUUCUGCUGCCAUUCUGCUACCGUGGGCGUCGUACAGCCCCCGUUCCCAUAGAGGACAGUCUGCUGCCGCAAGCCUAGCUUCGUCCACCUCUGAAUCAAGAAACAAAACAACUAGGCAUGGACGACCGCACCUACAAGGGCGGCAUCAAGGCGUACUGGAAGCGCCGGGGCUACUACCGCAUGGACGGCGACGCCGCGCGGCGCCGCCAGCCGCUCCCCACCGUGGAGCUCGGAGGUGGCGUCGCCCAGGCCCAGGCCCAGGCC